UGUGGCCGCUCAAGUGCGCAGCUUACAGGGAACACGGGUCCACACCCCACACACUAUUGUGAUAAUCUUUGUACAAAGUAUGCUUUGUGAGGUAUCAUUUGAACACUCAUAAUUUGCUGGUCAUUAUUAUCCUAAUAAAAUAUGUGUGGCAACAUUGUAUAUGAAGUUAUAAGAUUCCACUGAAUUGUGUUAUUAACACACGUUCCAAAUUGAGGUUGACAAAGAGGUCUGUCUAAAAGAAAGGAGGCUGGAAGGUGGAGGAAUCUUGUACAAAUACCUUGGAAACCUCCCAUAUCUACUGGAGGAGCAAGAGGUGCUGGUACCGUGGUCUCUGUGUAUGCUCUGUUUAAUUUGAAUGUAAGCAGUAAACAGAGUCAUCACGUAGGAAGGCAAACAAACAUAGGACAUUUAAACAGGUAAGGAAAACGCAGCAGGGAACAUCCUUCUAUAUAGACUCUGUCUCCUGAAUCUCAGAUGGAAGUAUUUUUCAAGAGGGGAACUGACACUAUAAAAAGGAGGUACUAACAAACAAAGACACCCCCUUCUCUCUCCCUGCCCAUAGUGUUCACGGCCCCCAAAGUGACAAAAGAAGCAUUUGUUGAACCUUCGGAGAAGGGGUCCUGACCUAAGAAGACUGGUCAGUCAGACUGCUGAAAGCAUAUGGCCUAGGCUGAGACAGGUGGAGCAAACCAGAUUGAGGCUUCUUUGCACCCAGCCAGUCGUUGAGAUACGGGAACAGGUGGACCUCACGCUGCCUGAGUACCCUGGCAGGGCUGCCAAGGUCUUGGCGGUGGCUGGAAGGGCUUUCAAGCAGGCUGUGGCAUAGGUAUGCCCAACAAACGAAGGGUGGCAUUCUUCACCCCAUGCAGCCUGGCAUCUGUCUGCUUGGAGAAGAGACCAACCCCAUCGAAUGGGUGGUCUUGGAUUGAAUUGUGAAUCUCCUGCGAGAAGCCUCCUGUUUGUAGCCACAAGUUACGCCCCAUCACCACCGUCAACAUGAUUACCCAAGCCGCAGAGUCUGCUGCAUCCCAGGCCAUUUGUAGGGAGCACCUGGCUGCCGCCGUGCCUUCCUCCACCAGGGUGCCGAACUCUUGGACUAACCCUCGUGGGAGGGACUCCUGGAACUUACAGAGAGUAUCCCACAAAUUAAGUUGUACCUAUUCAG
This is a long non-coding RNA of Mauremys reevesii (Reeves's turtle), 1165 nucleotides long. RefSeq lists it as uncharacterized. Lineage: Eukaryota; Metazoa; Chordata; Testudines; Geoemydidae. The transcript is spliced from 3 exons. The record is from RefSeq and is a predicted model, not a curated record.